AUGGCGGGGACGAUCUCCCGCAUCCGGCUGGACAACUUCAUGUGCCACUCGAGCCUCGACAUCGAGCUCGGCCAGCACGUCAAUUUCAUCACCGGCCAGAACNNNNGCGGGAAGAGCGCGAUCUUGACGGCCCUCUGCAUCGCCUUCGGCUGCCGCGCCAAGAACACGCAGCGUGCCGCCACGCUCAAAGAUUUCAUCAAGACUGGCUGCAGCGAUGCAACAAUUGCUGUUGACAUCAACAACCAAGGGGAAGACGCGUUCAAGCCUGACGUAUAUGGAAACUUAAUUAAAUUGGAGCGCAGGAUUACCAAGUCAUCUAGUUCUACUAUCUUAAAAGAUCAACAUGGGAGGAAGGUGGCACAUCGCAAAGAUGAUCUUAAUGAGAUCGUCGAACAUUUUAAUAUUGAUGUUGAAAAUCCUUGCGUAAUUAUGAGUCAAGACAAAAGUAGAGAAUUUCUGCACUCAGGAAAUGACAAGGAUAAGUUUAAGUUCUUUUUCAAGGCUACUCUUCUUCAACGACUCAAAGAGUUGCUUGAGACAAUAAGAGAUCAGGUGCACAAGGCAGACUCUGAUGUUCAAGAACUGGAGAAGUCGAUUAAGCCAGUGAUGAGAGAACUUGAUGAAUUACGAGAGAAGAUAAAGAAUAUGGAACACAUAGAAGAGAUAGCACAUGAUAUUGAUAAUUUGAAGAAAAAGUUAGCCUGGUCAUGGGUUUAUGAAGUUGACAAGCAAAUUGAGGAACAAACAGUGAAACUCCAGAAACUCAAAGGGCGAGCUCCUGCGUGCCAAGAAAGAAUUGACCGAAAUACAGUGGUUGUUGAUAAACUGAAGAAAGAACUAAUUGAAAAGGAAGAAAAUCUCAGAUCUUUGGUGGGUAAGACUCAUGAAGAGAACAACAUGAAGAAAAGUAUGGAAAAUAACAUUGCUGAGGCUGUGAAGCGGGAGAUAGAACUAGAGGCGGAGCAUGAGCGUGGUGCACACAUGCUGCAGAGAAAGAAUGGCCGCCUGAAUCAAUUGCAGGCACAACUUCGUGAUUUCCAAAUGCAGCAUAUGCAAUCUACUCAAGCUGAGGCAUCUCAAAUGGAGAAAGAUAUGCAGAACAUACAACAACAGAUUGAUCAUCUUCAUUCAAAUGUUACAAGGUUAAGAGAGGAUGAAAAUGAAUUCACAGCAGAAUUAUCAGGCAUCGUAAAAUCUAUCAAUGACAUAUCAAAAGAGAUGGCUGAAAAUGAUAGAAGGACAAAACAAAUAAAAUCCAACAUUGCAGACCUUCAACGACAGCAAAGUAAUACGGUAACUGCAUUUGGGGGACAAAGAGUUUUGAAACUCUUGGAAUCAAUAGAGACAAACCACAAAAAAUUCGAAAGCCCACCUAUUGGUCCGAUAGGGGCUCAUCUGCAACUUGCUAGUGAGUCCUGGUCUGUGGCAGUUGAUCGCGCAUGUGGGGGGCUUCUGGAUGCAUUUAUCGUCACGUGUUAUAAGGAUCUACAUGUUUUGCGAGAAUGUGCAAGUAAAGUGAAUUUCAAUAACCUUCGAAUUAUUGUGUAUGAUUUUACUAGGCCACGAUUGAUCAUUCCUGAUGGUUCACUUCCUACAACAGAGCACCCUACAGUACUAUCAGUUAUUCAGUCAGAAAAUCACACUGUGCUGAAUGUAUUGGUGGAUCAGGGUCAUGCUGAAAGGCAGGUCCUGGUUAAAGAUUAUGAAGUCGGAAAAUCUCUUGCAUUUGAUGAUAGGAUGCGGAAUAUAAAGGAAGUGUAUACUUCUGAUGGGGACAAAAUAUUUUCUAGACGUACUGUUGAGACUUUUUAUCCUCCUGCAAGCAAAAAGGGAAAACGUAAUCGUUUGUGCAGUUCACUGGGAGAAAAAAUUGCUGAACUUAAGAAUGAAGCAGAAGGUAUUCAAAGAACAAUCGUGGAAAAGAACGGUCAGAAAAGCAAGUUAGUUAAAGAUCGAUGUGACCUUGAACAGAAAAUAGCAGAUUCGAAGAGAAAACGAGAACCUGAGGAGUAUUGUUUAGAGAAAAAAAUACUGGAACUUGAUGACGCCAAGAGAGCUUUUGCUGAAAUUAAUAGAUAUGGUGCUGUGGAUAACACUGAACUAGAGGAGGACAUAAAGAAAGAGAAGAAUAUCAUUGUGGAGAGGGAACCAUUACUUAAUAAGAUUAAUACAAAGUUAGCAGCAGCUUCACGAGAAGUGAACGAUAGAAGAGAAGCUUACAAGACCUUUAUGGAUUCUGUGAAUGAGGAGACAGGGGAUCGUAUUAGCGCAAAUGAUGAAUUAGAACUUGUUAAGCGUAAACUAGAUGCAGCUGAGCAGGAGAAGGCUCACUAUGAAGGUCUCAUGACAACCAAAGUUUUACCUGCUAUUAAAAUGGCUGAGGCAGAGUAUGCAGAUCUUCAGCAGCUUCGACAGGAUAACUUCAAGAAGGCUUCGACUAUUUGCCCUGAGAGCGAUAUGGAAGCUCUGAAUAAUGUUGCUGGAUCCACCCCUGAACAAUUAAGUGCCAAGUUAAAUAGACUGAAACAGAGAUUUGAUCAAGAAAGCAGAAGACAUGCUGAGUCCAUAGACGAUCUGAGGGCAUUGCAUGACAAAAAGGAGCAGAAAAUCUUAAGUAAGCAACAGCUGUAUGCAAGUUUUAGGCUGAGAAUUAAUUCGUGUGAAAAAUUAUUGGACUUGCGGUGGAAUAAGUUCCAGAGAAAUGCUGGCCUUUUGAAGAGACAAUUGACAUGGCUGUUCAAUGAGCACCUGGGAAAGAAAGGUAUCAGUGGAUUCACCAACGUGGAUUACCAGAGUAAAGUUUUAUCUAUUGAGCUAACGAUGCCUCAAGAUGCAUCGCAUGAUACCAUCAGAGACACUAGAGGACUGUCAGGGGGAGAGCGAUCUUUUUCGACACUUUGCUUCGCUUUAGCUCUUCAUGGGAUGACGGAAGCACCUUUUAGGGCCAUGGAUGAGUUUGAUGUAUUCAUGGAUGCGGUGAGCCGCAAAAUAAGCUUGGACACCCUUGUAGAUUUUGCUGUUGCACACGGGUCACAAUGGAUAUUUAUAACGCCGCAUGAUAUCAGCAUGGUGAAGCCUGGAGAUCGGGUCAAGAAGCAGCAACUGGCCGCCCCUCGCGGUUGA
Molecule: ribosomal RNA, 3123 nt
Filed under: Triticum aestivum (bread wheat)
Lineage: Eukaryota; Viridiplantae; Streptophyta; Magnoliopsida; Poales; Poaceae
Description: partial small subunit ribosomal RNA
Source: RNAcentral